Molecule: transfer RNA, 77 nt
Filed under: Staphylococcus aureus
Lineage: Bacteria; Bacillati; Bacillota; Bacilli; Caryophanales; Staphylococcaceae
Also listed under: 2 other names
Description: tRNA-Ile
Rfam family: tRNA
About the family: Transfer RNA (tRNA) molecules are approximately 80 nucleotides in length. Their secondary structure includes four short double-helical elements and three loops (D, anti-codon, and T loops).
Source: RNAcentral
GGGCCUAUAGCUCAGCUGGUUAGAGCGCACGCCUGAUAAGCGUGAGGUCGGUGGUUCGAGUCCGCUUAGGCCCACCA